UACAGAGACUGCAAGCGUUAUUCGGAUUCACUGGGCGUAAAGGGUGCGCAGGCGGCCAAGUGUGUCAGGUGUGAAAUCCCGGGGCUUAACUCCGGAACUGCGCCUGAAACUACUUGGCUAGAGCAUUGGAGAGGGAAGUGGAAUUCACGGUGUAGCAGUGAAAUGCGUAGAUAUCGGGAGGAACACCAGUGGCGAAGGCGGUUGCCUGGGGCUUUGCUGACGCUGAGGCGCGAAAGCGUGGGGAGCGAUCCGG
This 253-nucleotide ribosomal RNA is filed under the name uncultured bacterium. Its description in RNAcentral is "partial 16S ribosomal RNA". It matches the Rfam family "Bacterial small subunit ribosomal RNA", at positions 524 to 776 of the family's 1533-position model. The record is from RNAcentral.